Molecule: ribosomal RNA, 443 nt
Filed under: uncultured bacterium
Lineage: Bacteria
Description: partial 16S ribosomal RNA
Rfam family: Bacterial small subunit ribosomal RNA
Source: RNAcentral
CCUACGUGUGGCAGCAGUGGGGAAUAUUGGGCAAUGGAGGCAACUCUGACCCAGCAACGCCGCGUGAGUGACGAAGGUCUUCGGAUUGUAAAGCUCUUUAAGCGGGGACGAAAAAAGUGACUGUACCCGCAGAAUAAGCCUCGGCUAACUACGUGCCAGCAGCCGCGGUAAUACGUAGGAGGCAAGCGUUAUCCGGAAGGACUGGGCGUAAAGGGUGCGUAGGUGGUUUGGCAAGUUGGUAGCGAAAUCCCGGGGCCUAACCUCGGUGCUACUACCAAAACUGUUGAACUUUAGUGCAGGAGGGGUGAAGGGAAUUCCCAGGGUAGCGGUGGAAUGCGUAGAUAUUAGGAAGAACACCAGCGGCGAAGGCGAUUCACUGGACUGUAACUGACACUGAGGCACGAAAGCGUGGGGAGCAAACAGGAUUAGAUACCCGGGUAGUC